CCUACGGGUGGCUGCAGUGGGGAAUAUUGCACAAUGGGCGCAAGCCUGAUGCAGCCAUGCCGCGUGUGUGAAGAAGGCCUUCGGGUUGUAAAGCACUUUCAGCGGGGAGGAAGGCGUUAAGGUUAAUAACCUUGGCGAUUGACGUUACCCGCAGAAGAAGCACCGGCUAACUCCGUGCCAGCAGCCGCGGUAAUACGGAGGGUGCAAGCGUUAAUCGAAUUACUGGGCGUAAAGCGCACGCAGGCGGUCUGUCAAGUCGGAUGUGAAAUCCCCGGGCUCAACCUGGGAACUGCAUUCGAAACUGGCAGGCUAGAGUCUUGUAGAGGGGGGUAGAAUUCCAGGUGUAGCGGUGAAAUGCGUAGAGAUCUGGAGGAAUACCGGUGGCGAAGGCGGCCCCCUGGACAAAGACUGACGCUCAGGUGCGAAAGCGUGGGGAGCAAACAGGAUUAGAUACCCCUGUAGUC
Molecule: ribosomal RNA, 464 nt
Filed under: uncultured Klebsiella sp.
Lineage: Bacteria; Pseudomonadati; Pseudomonadota; Gammaproteobacteria; Enterobacterales; Enterobacteriaceae
Description: bacterial SSU rRNA
Rfam family: Bacterial small subunit ribosomal RNA
Source: RNAcentral